Molecule: transfer RNA, 87 nt
Filed under: Heterosigma akashiwo
Lineage: Eukaryota; Raphidophyceae; Chattonellales; Chattonellaceae
Description: tRNA-SER2
Rfam family: tRNA
About the family: Transfer RNA (tRNA) molecules are approximately 80 nucleotides in length. Their secondary structure includes four short double-helical elements and three loops (D, anti-codon, and T loops).
Source: RNAcentral
AGAGAAGUGUCCGAGUGGUCUAUGGUACCAGUUUUGAAAACUGGCAUGAUUUAAACGUCAUCGUGGGUUCGAAUCCCACCUUCUCUG